GUGGGUAGUUUGACUGGGGCGGUCUCCUCCUAAAGAGUAACGGAGGAGCACGAAGGUUAGCUAAUCCUGGUCGGACAUCAGGAGGUUAGUGCAAAGGCAUAAGCUAGCUUGACUGCGAGAGUGACGGCUCGAGCAGGUGCGAAAGCAGGUCUUAGUGAUCCGGUGGUUCUGAAUGGAAGGGCCAUCGCUCAACGGAUAAAAGGUACUCCGGGGAUAACAGGCUGAUACCGCCCAAGAGUUCAUAUCGACGGCGGUGUUUGGCACCUCGAUGUCGGCUCAUCACAUCCUGGGGCUGAAGUAGGUCCCAAGGGUAUGGCUGUUCGCCAUUUAAAGUGGUACGCGAGCUGGGUUUAGAACGUCGUGAGACAGUUCGGUCCCUAUCUGCCGUGGGCGCUGGAGAAUUGAGGGGGGCUGCUCCUAGUACGAGAGGACCGGAGUGGACGCAUCACUGGUGUUCGGGUUGUCAUGCCAAUGGCAUUGCCCGGUAGCUAAAUGCGGAAGAGAUAAGUGCUGAAAGCAUCUAAGCACGAAACUUGCCCCG
RNAcentral lists this ribosomal RNA (541 nucleotides) under Citrobacter freundii. RNAcentral's name for it is "partial 23S ribosomal RNA". It matches the Rfam family "Bacterial large subunit ribosomal RNA", at positions 2261 to 2801 of the family's 2925-position model. The record is from RNAcentral. Lineage: Bacteria; Pseudomonadati; Pseudomonadota; Gammaproteobacteria; Enterobacterales; Enterobacteriaceae. RNAcentral also lists the same sequence under 1 other name.